AAUUUUGAAGGGCCGCAGUAUUCUGACUGUGCAAAGGUAGCAUAAUCAUUUGCCUUUUAAUUAAAGGCUCGUAUGAAUGGUUGAACGAAAUACAAACUGUCUCACUCUAAAAAGUUUAAAAAUUUAGCUUUCAAGUCAAAAGGCUUGAAUAAUAUUAGAGGACGAGAAGACCCUAUAGAACUUUAUAAUAUUUUUUUGUGAAUUUACAUAGUAAAAUAUUUUUUAUUUAUAAAUAUUAUUAUUUUGUUGGGGUGACAGGAAAAUAAGCAAAACUUUUUUGAAUUUUGAACAUUGAUUUAUGAAUAUUUGAUCCAUUAUUAGUGAUUAUUAGAAUAAGUUACCUUAGGGAUAACAGCGUAAUUUUGUUGGAGAGUUCAAAUCGAUAACAAAGUUUGCGACCUCGAUGUUGAAUUAA
RNAcentral lists this ribosomal RNA (415 nucleotides) under Myrmeleon hyalinus. RNAcentral's name for it is "partial 16S ribosomal RNA". It matches the Rfam family "Archaeal large subunit ribosomal RNA", at positions 1996 to 2609 of the family's 2987-position model. Lineage: Eukaryota; Metazoa; Arthropoda; Insecta; Neuroptera; Myrmeleontidae. The record is from RNAcentral.